Non-coding RNA from Acanthosepion pharaonis, 112 nucleotides. Lineage: Eukaryota; Metazoa; Mollusca; Cephalopoda; Sepiida; Sepiidae. The record is from the annotation of a GenBank genome assembly.
UACGGCCACAUCACGUUGAAACACCGGUUUCCGUACGAUCACCGAAGUUAAGCAACGUCAAGUAUGGUCAGUACCUAGAUGGUGACCGCUUGGGAAUAUCAGGUGCUGUAAG